This 497-nucleotide ribosomal RNA is filed under the name uncultured bacterium. RNAcentral describes it as "partial 16S ribosomal RNA". It matches the Rfam family "Bacterial small subunit ribosomal RNA", at positions 28 to 507 of the family's 1533-position model. The record is from RNAcentral.
GACGAACGCUGGCGGCGUGCCUAAUACAUGCAAGUUGAGCGCUGAAGGUUGGUACUUGUACCGACUGGAUGAGCAGCGAACGGGUGAGUAACGCGUGGGGAAUCUGCCUUUGAGCGGGGGACAACAUUUGGAAACGAAUGCUAAUACCGCAUAAAAACUUUAAACACAAGUUUUAAGUUUGAAAGAUGCAAUUGCAUCACUCAAAGAUGAUCCCGCGUUGUAUUAGCUAGUUGGUGAGGUAAAGGCUCACCAAGGCGAUGAUACAUAGCCGACCUGAGAGGGUGAUCGGCCACAGUGGGACUGAGACACGGCCCAAACUCCUACGGGAGGCAGCAGUAGGGAAUCGUCGGCAAUGGACGAAAGUCUGACCGAGCAACGCCGCGUGAGUGAAGAAGGUUUUCGGAUCGUAAAACUCUGUUGGUAGAGAAGAACGUUGGUGAGAGUGGAAAGCUCAUCAAGUGACGGUAACUACCCAGAAAGGGACGGCUAACUACGUG